This 139-nucleotide ribosomal RNA is filed under the name uncultured bacterium. RNAcentral's name for it is "partial 16S ribosomal RNA". It matches the Rfam family "Bacterial small subunit ribosomal RNA", at positions 355 to 509 of the family's 1533-position model. The record is from RNAcentral.
UGGGGAAUAUUGGGCAAUGGGCGCAAGCCUGACCCAGCAACGCCGCGUGAAGGAAGAAGGCUUUCGGUUGUAAACUUCUUUUAUGAGGGACGAAUAAAGUGACGGUACCUCAUGAAUAAGCCACGGCUAACUACGUGCC